This 29064-nucleotide long non-coding RNA is filed under the name Salvia miltiorrhiza (redroot sage). Its description in RNAcentral is "long non-coding RNA (SMIL_LNC006874)". The record is from RNAcentral. Lineage: Eukaryota; Viridiplantae; Streptophyta; Magnoliopsida; Lamiales; Lamiaceae.
UUCGAGGCAGGGGAACCCAUCACACAACACUUUCAUGUUCCAAUCCUUGUAAGCGUAUUCAGAUACCUUGAGAAACUGCAGCUUCGGCAGCUUACCCAAUUUUGGCAUCGGAUCCUCAUAUAGCUUUGCAAUCUCAAUGUAAGGUGAGUAAGAUUUGGAGGAAUUACUCGCAUCAGGACAUCGAGCAUCCAGCCACCGUCCAGUUUGAGUUUAGUGAUGCUGCCGAGCUGGGGAAUGAUGUGUGUGCUGAUCACACAAGCUUGAUUGAAUUUUAGGUGUAGCUCCACAAGAUUCGUCAUCUUUUCCAACGACGCUCUCGCCAUGCUCAAAUCGUUGUUUUCUUCUAUUUCGCUCAUAUAUAUGCUCAAUUCCCGAACAUGACGGCUUGCCAUUAAUUUUGGGCUGCAUUCUAGCCAAUCCUUUAGCCUCAUGCCUUUCACACUCUCAAUAUUUCUCCAAUUCUCAAUGCUCAUUGGUUUGCCCCAGGCACUGUAUAUGUGGAAGUGACGUAGUUUUUCCAUUUGCAGUGCAACAUUCGGGAACACUAUGAGCUCAUUCUCUACAUCAAGAACCUCGAGGUCUUUUAAGUCAUUCAACCAGCUUGGGAGCUCCAGUACGCAAUCCAUCAAAUAUUGUGGUCUGUGUAUUCUCAAGUACUUCAAUCCAAUCAAUAGUCGAAAAGAGUCGGGCAAUCUUUGAAACGCAAAGCCGUCAAGGUCAAGCAUCUUAAGGAGUUGAAAGCGCUUCCAGUAACGAGAUGGUGUAGUCAAAUAAACUUUACUACUACCACCAUUGACGUUAAGUAGGAAAAGAGAGCGAAGAUGCUUAUUCUGACCCCGUGAGAAGGCCUCGAGGUUUUUGCCAUAGACAACACGAUGACGAGGUUUAUAUGAGGAUUGUGAUGAAGAACCCUCCUCCCCGUUUACAAUCUCCAAGCCUAUUUCCUCCUUUGCUUUUCUUAAACAUACCUCGCGAAGAAGAUCAUGGAGGCGACAAGUCCUUACCCGAUUAUCAAUGGUUAGAUCUCAACUUGAAGCAUGCUUCGAUUGAUCAACUCAUUUAAACAACCUCUUGCUAUCUCAUCUGUUGUUCUGGUUCCUUCCUGUUGGAUCAAGCCUUGUCCAACCCAUAUAUUUAUCAGCCUUUUUGUAGGGAUAGUAGAGUCUUCCUUGAAAAAAGCUAAGCACAAGAAGCAUGAUUUCAGCUGCGGAGACAAAUUGUGAUAACUCAACUCCAAAAUUGUUGGUACGCUGCUUUCAGUCCUUUCCAAAUAAGAGUUUAUUUGGUUAAGAACUUGUUCCCACAUGCACCCACUAUUGCUUUGUGUUUCCCAGAGUAGCCCUCCUACCACACUGAUAGCUAAUGGUAGACCAUGACAUUUUUCCACGAUUUGUCUGCCUAUGCUCUCAAACUCUUCUGGAUAUUUUCCAUUAGUAUUUCUAAUGAAUGCAUUCUUCAACAGCAACUCCCAGCUCUUCUCGCGAUCUAGAAGCUUCAUCACGUGCACAUAUUGAUCAUACUUUGUAACAAUCUUGUUGCGAGUCGUAACCAAUAAUCUACUUGUUUUAUCUGUGAAAGAAGAGGCAAUUAAGUAUAAGAAGAUGAGUUGAGAGACGAGGGAUUGGAGCCCAAAGUUUUUACACGAUAAUAACUUUGGUUGGUUUGCAAAUGUAGGGCAAAAAUUUUUGGUUUCCAAUUGUAGGAAAAGAUUUCAAAAAUUCAGCAUAAGUAUGACAAAUUGAGCCCGAAAAAAUAAUUUGUCCUGCUAUUACAAGCCCUAUUUAUUUUUCCUGCAUUUACAAAAUUGUCAAAGUUAUGGGCCUAAAAAAGGAAUAGAGGAAAGAUAAUUUUUAAAAAAUUUAAUGUUUAAAUAAAUAUAACUUUUACAUUUUGAAUCAAAUAUUUACAUAAAAUAUAUCAAAUUAAAGCUCUUAUUUGAUAUGCAUAUUAAAUAUUUUUUAAUUAGUCGAAUUUCACAUUUAAAAAGAAACAAAACACAAAAAUAAAAACAUAAUAAAGGAUAUAAAAAGAAAAAAUACUUUUAGAAAUAAGGAAUAUAUUUUAGGCCCGUAACUUUGGCCGUUUUGCAAAUGUAGGAUAAUUUUUUUGGGCUUGCAAUUGCAGGACAAAUUGUUUUUUCAGGCUCAAUUUAUCCUACUUUUGUCGAAUUUUUUAAAAUUUUCACUACAAUUGUAAGUCCAAAAAAUUUUGUCCUACAUUUGCAAAACGGCCAAAGUUACUGUCUUUUCUCAGGGAUUCGUUCAGCUUACAAAGAACAUGAAUACUAAGUAUAUUUUGCAUUUCAAGUUAUGUAUGCAACAAUAUUUAUCAUUUUCAAGUUUUUUUAAUCAAGUAUUGGGUCAUUUAAAAAAAAUUAUAUGAUCAUACACUAAAACUAAAGAACAACCAAUAUAUAUAUUUAGGGCUAGCUAGCUCGUUUGGCUGACAAUAUAAAUUAAGCUUGAUAUGUUUAAUUGAGAUGUCUUGAUAUUGUAUAAGAUAAAACUAAAGUAUCAAUAUUAUGUUUGAUUAUAUGUAUUAAAUUAUCUGUUUUAUAAAUAAAUUAUAGUAGGAGAGUGAAAUUAUGGUAGUUUAAUCUAUUAUUAAUUAAAUUAAUAAAUAAUAUGAUUAGGUUUUAUAUUACAUGUCGCACCUAGAAGAUGGUAUAUUCAGAAUCUCAAAAAUCUAUAUAAUACAUAUCAAACUCUAGCUUUAUAAAGGACCUCGUGUUUUGAAGCAAACAUGAUACUCCCACCGUCUUUUUAAAAGUGGCUAAUUUCUUUUGGACGCGGAGAUUAAGAGAAGUGUACAAAUUGGAUAAAAGUGACAUGGUCCACACCUUUUCAAAAAUCAAAUGUUGUCUUUUAUGAAAAUUGGCCACUUUUAGCGGGACAUGCCAAAAUGAAAACGAGCUACGUACUUUAGCGGAACAAAGUGAGUAUUAGAAUGUCAUAGGUAUAUUAUACGUCCCUAAUCACCCUUAUCAAACAAACCCAAGUGUUGUGAAUUAUAUAUAUAUAUAUAUAAUAGUAGGAGUAGUUACUUGGAGGAGUUGGGGAGGGGGAGCAGUGUAGUUUGAACCCGGGACCUCACUGUUCACACACAGGAGUACUUCUAUAAUUUUCUUUUCCAAAAUUUUUUAGUCAUUAUAAAUUUCAGUCAAUCUAUAUAAUUGGGACACAUGAAGUAUUUGAUAAAAAGUACACGUGUACAUAAUUCGUCUCAUAGUUAUAUUAUUCAUUUAAAUGAAGACACACACACACACAAAUAUCCAAAUUCCCACAGCAACGUUAAUAACCAUCAAUUUAUGAAUCCAUUAACANNNNNNNNNNNNNNNNNNNNNNNNNNNNNNNNNNNNNNNNNNNNNNNNNNNNNNNNNNNNNNNNNNNNNNNNNNNNNNNNNNNNNNNNNNNNNNNNNNNNNNNNNNNNNNNNNNNNNNNNNNNNNNNNNNNNNNNNNNNNNNNNNNNNNNNNNNNNNNNNNNNNNNNNNNNNNNNNNNNNNNNNNNNNNNNNNNNNNNNNNNNNNNNNNNNNNNNNNNNNNNNNNNNNNNNNNNNNNNNNNNNNNNNNNNNNNNNNNNNNNNNNNNNNNNNNNNNNNNNNNNNNNNNNNNNNNNNNNNNNNNNNNNNNNNNNNNNNNNNNNNNNNNNNNNNNNNNNNNNNNNNNNNNNNNNNNNNNNNNNNNNNNNNNNNNNNNNNNNNNNNNNNNNNNNNNNNNNNNNNNNNNNNNNNNNNNNNNNNNNNNNNNNNNNNNNNNNNNNNNNNNNNNNNNNNNNNNNNNNNNNNNNNNNNNNNNNNNNNNNNNNNNNNNNNNNNNNNNNNNNNNNNNNNNNNNNNNNNNNNNNNNNNNNNNNNNNNNNNNNNNNNNNNNNNNNNNNNNNNNNNNNNNNNNNNNNNNNNNNNNNNNNNNNNNNNNNNNNNNNNNNNNNNNNNNNNNNNNNNNNNNNNNNNNNNNNNNNNNNNNNNNNNNNNNNNNNNNNNNNNNNNNNNNNNNNNNNNNNNNNNNNNNNNNNNNNNNNNNNNNNNNNNNNNNNNNNNNNNNNNNNNNNNNNNNNNNNNNNNNNNNNNNNNNNNNNNNNNNNNNNNNNNNNNNNNNNNNNNNNNNNNNNNNNNNNNNNNNNNNNNNNNNNNNNNNNNNNNNNNNNNNNNNNNNNNNNNNNNNNNNNNNNNNNNNNNNNNNNNNNNNNNNNNNNNNNNNNNNNNNNNNNNNNNNNNNNNNNNNNNNNNNNNNNNNNNNNNNNNNNNNNNNNNNNNNNNNNNNNNNNNNNNNNNNNNNNNNNNNNNNNNNNNNNNNNNNNNNNNNNNNNNNNNNNNNNNNNNNNNNNNNNNNNNNNNNNNNNNNNNNNNNNNNNNNNNNNNNNNNNNNNNNCGGUAUGCAUUAAUUUGUAUAGCAGAUGCAGUAAUUUUAUUGGUUCUUAUGUUCUCACGAUAAUUAGUGGUUCGUCACUAUAACCCACCCUACUAUAUAUAUAUAUAUAUAUAGUGGUAAAGAGUACUCUAGAUCUGUUUUGUAUUUAUCAUUCCAAAAAGUACAAUAAAUCUAAAUAAAAUAGUAAUUAUCUUUCAUAUUUGGUAUCUAAAUGCUUUAUUUAAACGAACUAUUACAUGUCAUUGUAAAACUAGUAUUAACCUCUUAUAACAUAAAUUAGUUCAAUAUAAUUUGGGUAAUUGGUGUAUAAAUACAUGAACUUUACUCACUUUUUGAUAUUUAUGGUAUUUAACAUGAACUUUAAAUCUUAGGUAUAAAUACAUGAACUUAUUCAUUUUUUGGUAUUUAACAUGAAUUUUAAACUUAUUCAAUUUUUGACUAGUUUUUCAUCUUUCCCAAAUUAAAGCUGACUUGUAAUGCCUGAAUCUUAACGUGGACAAUUGGCAUCUAACGAGCUUGCAGAGGCACCCGAUGAGGAACCCAUCGAUGUUGGCUGUGAAAUCCUCAAACCUUAAUUAACGAAAUUCUGAAUUUGGCUUUCUGAAUGACAAAAUUCGUUUUCUGAAAUCCUCAAAUCUUAAAGACGAAAUUGGCUUUCUUAAUUUGUGAAAUUUGUAGACAAAUUUAUAUCGUUUACUUUUCUAUUUUAGUGUUGGGUUAUUUUCCUCCGACCAAAAACAAAGUCGUCGUAUUUCAGUGCCAAAUUGUCCACGUCAAGAUUCAAGCAUUCAAAGGCAGCUUUAAUUUGAAAAAAAAAAAUGAAAAACGAGUCAAAAUUAAAUAAGUUUAAAGUUCAUGUAUUUAUAACUAAAUUUUAAAGUUCAUGUUAAAUAACAGAAAGCGAUUAAGUUCAUGUAUUUAUGGCUAGCUAGGAUUUAAAGUUUAAGUUAAAUACCAAAAAAUGAGUAGAGUAAAAAAUGAGUAAAGUUCAUGUAUUUAUACACCAAUUACCCAUAUAUUUUUCUAAACUAAUUGAAUUUUUUAAGGGAUAAUUGCAAUUUAGUAUUUUAAAAUAAUUGAUUUAAACUUAUAUAAACAUUAUAAGUUAAAGUCAUAAAAAUAGAAUUCUAUUAACUUAGUGUCUCAUUGAAUAGAACACCAAGAAGACGAAAAAUUACAUGCAAACCUAAAACCUUUGUUGGUAGUCUAGCGGAUUCUAAUAUGAUUAAUAAUGACUAUCACUCGUAAUUCUAAAAUUAAAUUGAGAAAACAAUUAAUAGUAAUUUAAAUGGAUAAAGAAAUCUAAUUAGUGGAACAUCAUUGAUUAUAUUAUCUUAAUUAAUGAAAUUAAAUAUAAUCCUAAAGUAAUGUUAUUUUUUUCCGAAGUAUAAUAUUCCAUCCACCCCCAAAAAUAUUCUAUAAAAACAUUCAUUUUUCUUUUUUGAAUAUUAUCGCUUCACAAACCCCUUACUUUUUAUUCCUAUUUUUCAACUUAUUUACAAUUUUACCAUCGCUCAAAUUCUUUUGAUUUUAUCCUCACAUUAACAUGCUCAAAAUCCUAUUUUGAUUACAUUACUUUAAAUUGAAUAAUACCCCUCCACAGAGAACUGCUAAGAGAUACGAUUUAAGAAAAAAAGUUGGUGUAAAGUGAAAAACUAUUGAGUGUAUUGAAAAUGAUGAAAAUGUGUUUUAAUUAGUAUUGUGAGCGAUAAAAAUAUGAAAAAUUAAGGAUAAUGAGAUAUUUAUAAGUGAUUAAGUAUAGUCCAAAAAUAGAUAAGAAGUUCUUUUGUGAACGUCCCAAAAAUGAUAAGUAGGAAGUUCUCUCGUGGACAGCAGUAGUAUAAGAGAUGUAUGAUAUAGCAUAACAACAAGCACAAGCUAGAAAAGGAAAAAUUGAAUGGUUACCUUGUUGAUUUGGGAAAGCACUCAUGAGAGAUUCUAAAUGUUCAUUCUCCCAGACAUCAUCCAGAACAAUGAAAUAUGAUUUGCCAUCCAAUUCCUUAUGAAGCCUUUGUUUAAGCUCCUCUUGGACAAAUAGUGUAUCCUUCAUCGACUCCUCCAAUUUCUUUAUUUCGUCAAGCAGCUUUCGUUUAUCUUCUUCAGACCUUUGCAGCUGGAAGAUAAGCUGUUUGAUCGUCUCCUGUGGCGUAAAUUCACUCGACACCACAACCCAGCCACGGCUGUCAAAUCGACCCAUGACGUCGCAGUGGUUGUAUACUGCUCGGGCAAGUGUAGAUUUGCCUAUCCCACCCAUACCCUCUAACACCGCAAUCGAAAGCCCCUUCCUCUCCUCAUUAAGAAUUGAUUCUUCUAGCAGUUUUUUCACAUCCUCUUCCACGCCCACCAGGAGUUCGUCGGUUUUCAAAGGAGACAACCGCCGCCGUGAUUCAACUUGCAAUCUCCACCCUGAGUCCGCCGUCGCCUCCUUGCCAAAAUCUUUAAUGCCAUACCUCUCGCGGCUCUUGUCAAUGGCGUCGAUCUUAGCAAGGAUUGAUUCAAUCUCAUCCCCAAUUCUGUUGAGCUGGUACAUACGCUUCGCGAACUUAGUGCAUCGUUCGAGAAGCCCUUACUCUUCGAGUUCUCAACGUUGAUGAGGAACAUCUCGAUGGUAUCUUCGGCAUCCUGAGCCACCUCUCUGAUCUCCGAUAUCCAAUUUUGCACAUUCUUGUCUUCAAAUUGCUUUUUGUUGGCGUCUUCAAGAAAGCAUUGCAUCCUCUGAGCUCGGCUUUCAGGGACUCCACCUUUCCCUCGACGCCUCGUAGGAAUUUCACCUUCUGGAUGAGCUGAUCGCCCAGCAAUUCCACCAAAGAUGAGAUCGCCGCUUCUGCCAUGUUGAUGUCGAUCGAUCUCUUGAUUUCAGAAAAAUGCUCUUUUUAAGUGUUGUUCAAAGUUGGUAAUGGUUUAAGUAAAACAAAAAAGUCAUAUUGGAUAUAUAUGAUAGUGCCGCUAACAGGGUAUGGUUCCAUGGUGAAUGAUAUAUAUUGAGGCAGUGAAGAAUAAUGAAUAAAUCAAUAAAUUUUAUGAAUAAACAAUAUAACCGAUGAACAAAUAAUUACUCCCUCCGUCCGGCUUUUGGUAUCUAGUUGAGAAUGACACGGGUUUUAAUAAAGUGAUUGAUGUGUUGUGAGUGGAAUAAGGGUCCCACAUUUUAUGUGAGAGUUAAAAUAAUUAAAGUGGAGUAAGGGCCCACUACUUUUACAAAAAUAGAAAUGAUACAAAAUGUGGACGCAAAAAAGGAAAUUGGAUACUAAAAGUUGGGACGGAGGGAGUAUAAGUUAAUUGAGUAACAAUAUAACGAUUCAAAUAUUAUUAGUCCAAUAUAUAAGUCAUAACUGAAAAUAAAAUUAUCAAAAUAGCCUUGUGUUGGCCUUUCGUGCACGAGAUACGUGAAUUUCGCCUAUGGAAUUUGCGAAUCCGGUUUAUUUUUAUAAAUUGUUUUAAAAGAUACGCCACGUGGCGAAUCGAGUGCGAAUCCAACGAGAAUCCGAGAGAAUCGCACCCUAAAAGAAUCUGAUUCGUCGUACAUGCUAAUUUUUGAAGAAUCUGUGCAUCAUAGGUUACAUCAGUCAGCAUCUUCAGUCUUCAGUCUUUAGUCCUUCGUUCUUCAGCCUUCAGUUUUCAGAACAACUAAACUAGAAAAAGAACUCUAACACUUGAGUUCGAACAGUUCUAGUCUAUUACAAGUGAAACCUAUUGAUUUUGGUAUCAUCAAAACUAGGAUUAGGAUAUUUCAUUAAGUUCUCAACAAUUUUCUCCUUUUUGAUGAUGCCAAAACCACACAACAGUUCUAAGCAAGAAAAAGACUGAACUCAAAGUACAAGUUAUUAAACAGGGUGAAUACUAUUCCCCCUUAACAAUAAAACCUAAAACUUGCACUUUGAAAGAAGAACACAACAGUUCAAAGAAACUGAACGAAGACAAAACUGAAAAACAUUAAUCAGAGUCUGGAUAAAAAGUUAUUAUCUUCAGGUUGAGAUAAAAAAAAGAAGUUCUUUUCAUAAACGUAACUGAUGAGAAAUCAGUUGAGGUUAUAGAGCAAAGCAUACAAGGGAGUAAGAAAAACAAAAACCCAUGGACUCCAGCAGUCUGCUUGUCUGCGCCUUGAACUUCUUUGAUCUUCAUCUUCAUCUUCAUGUUUCUAAGCUUGUUACUUUCACACUUAUUUUUCAUUGACUUGAGGUCUUACUGGAACGUCAUGCUUAAAACUUCUGGUGAUCCUUUUGCUUUACCAUCUUCAGUCUUUCGAGAAGAUGCAGAGAACCACCUUUGAGAAGGUUUUUCUCUGACUUCUACUUUCCCCAUUUUUGGCAACAUCAAAAAGAGAGCUGAUGAUGGAAGUUAUGAUCAGAUGGUACCCAACUCCUAGUCUCAGAAACUCGUGAGAGGAUUCUAGAAUAGGAUGAGUCUAGAGAUGCAGAAGAGGAAGACGCCAGUGGGGAGGGGGAUGAGAAAGGAGACGGAGAAGUGAAGGAAACGGAGAGGUGAAAGAAGCUGCCUUAGAGGGAGGAGGAGAGGCUUAUGAAGAAGAGAGAGGGGACUAGGUUGGAGAAAGAGGGAGAGUGCGAGAGAGGGGUAUGAGAAGGAAAAAUCGAAUCAGUGACAGUCGUGAGGACUGACACUGUCGAUUUCCCGAAACGAGGUAUUUGAAGAAAGGACCAUGUGCGGCUGGGGGUGCCAACAGACAACAAGAGAGAGCUCGUUGUUGUUUCAUGCCAUGGAGGUGAGCAAGAUAAGUGAAAUGAGCUUGAUAACCUCCUGAAGCUUAGAGACUUCUUGGCGCCAAGCAUUAGGAUGGAAGACACUCGUGUCGCUGGAUAUAAGUGAGGGUAGAAACAAGCUUGACGUCGGAGAGACGUUGAGAUCCAGUGAAAGGGUACUGUGAAGAUCAAUUGUGUGAGCGUCAUUCUCCCACUCCAUGACUUCGUUGUCAUUGAACUCUCCUUGGUCGGAACGAAAUUCUUCUGCAACUUUAAAAGUAUGAAAUUCUCACAGAGAAGGUUGUGGAAAGGUGUUAGUUGAUGAAGAAAACAAUUAAUGACAUCGAGGCAUAUAUAGACUAUAUUACCAAGACAGAAGAUGAAAAGUUUUUCGAAAAAGGUGCCUAAAAUUUUUUUGAAGAAAAAUUUCACGUCCGCCGUCACUGUAGAGGACGGAAGCUUCAAAAGGUAAGAAAAAUCAUUGCAUUUUGUCAAAUCAAUGAGAUUUUCAAGAUUUUCAUUACAGAGGCAAAAAGGUUGGAAAUAUUUUGAGUAAAGGAUCAGGACAAGUUAAAGUAAUUUUUAAAUCCUCUUAAAAGUACUUGUCCUUCACGGAUAUUUCAUUUUCCAACAACCAGUUAAAGUUUUUGAAACAAACUGAUCAGUUAGAGAAAGAUUUUUGAAGACUAUCAAAGACUCAUAACUGAAAUAACUGAUUUUCACAGGGUAAGUUGAAGAUACUUACUGAUCGACUGAUCAUUGUAGUCAGUCGAUACCACUGUUUCUGGUUGACUUAUAAGAAUAAGUUCCCCUUCAGAUGUAGACUCAUCUUCUUUGAUUGCCACGUCAGCAGUUGAGGAGCACCAGUUGGCUGAGCAACAGUCAUCGUGACUGUAGUUGAGAUCUUCAAAAACAGCAUCAUUCUUCAGAAUUGAUGAGGCCGAUCCUUCCACAAAGAUCGUUGAACCUAUCUCAGGAAGAGCUUUGGUCAGCAAGUUUGCUCUCUGAACUGCGGUCGGAAUCCAUUCAAUAGAGACAUUCUUCUUUUCCGCGUGAUCACGAAUGAAGUGAUGUCGGAUUGCAAUAUGCUUGACUCUUGUGUGAUGAAUUGGAUUCUGUGAGAUUGCAAUAGCAUUGGAGCUGUCGCAAUAAAUUGAGACUUCCUUUUCUUCUAUCCCAUAGUCCUUUAGUUGUUGGACUAGACAUAGGAGUUAUGAACAACAGUUUCCCGCAGCAACAUAUUCAGCUUCAGUUGUGGAAGUGCCGACUGAAGUCUGUUUCUUUGAAAACCAAGAGAUAAGUUUGUUGCCUAGGAAUUGACAAGUUCUCGAAGUUGAUUUGCGACCAAUUUUGCAUCCUGCAAAAUCAGAGUCUGAGUAUCCGGAGAGCUUGAAGUCGUCGUCUGCUGGAUACCACAAUCCUAAGUUGGGUGUGCCUUAGAGAUAUCACAGAAUUCGUUUUGCUGCAUCCAUAUGAGCUUCCUUUGGAUCUGACUGAUAUCUUGCACAAACCCCGACUACAUACAUAAUAUCUAGUCUGCUAGAAGUUAAAUACAGUAAUUACCCAAUGAUUUCUCAGUAUUUGGUUGAAGAUACAGAUUUUUCUUCCGAUCCUGGAUCUACAUUCCAGUUUGUGUUCAUUGGAAUCUUGACUGAUUUCAUGUGUUGAAUAUCGAAAUUGGCGAUCAGUUCCUUGGCAUACUUCGACUGAUUAAUCAGUAUUCCUUCGUUGGUCUGCUUAACUUGUAAUCCAAGAAAAAAAUUCAUUUCUCCCAUCAUGGACAUCUGAAACUUCUUAGUCAUAAUGUCAGCAAACUUCUUGCACAUCCGUUCGGAUUUGGAUCCGAAGAUUAUGUCAUCGACAUAAAUUUGAACAAGUAGGAGAUCUUCUCCUUNGCCACAUUUGGGUCCGAUCGGACUAUUUUGCACGUUAUACGUGCGUGACUUCACAGUUGGAGUCCGAAUGGUAAUGUGGAAUUUUAAUUCAUUCUUUUAUUUGGCAAAUUUAUAUAUAUGUAAAACUAAAUAAUAAAAUAUUCCAUAAUUAAAAGACAGAAAUAAAAAAAUGAAUUAAAAAAAUAUAUUAAAAAUACGCAAAUAAUUGCUUUUUCUCGAUGACACAUUGUAUGGUCGAAAUUAAAUUGUAGAAAUGUAUAUGUUCGUUAAGAUAUCCUAAUGCACCGUAUAAAAAAAUAUAAUACAUAAUACAUAUUUUCCUCAAGAUAACAAUAAUUAUUUAUAUAUUUAUAAAAAGACAUCUUAUACUAUAUAAUAGGAAAACAUAAUAGGAAGUUUAAACCAUAUACUUCGUAAGCAAUAAGCUACUUGGUUUGGUCCACUCUUCUCUUUCAACAAGGAGACCUUCACUAUUAACAACUAGCUAAUUUGUGGCUUCAUACUCACUCCGUCCACAAAAAAUAGUCGUCAUAGAAGAGGACGACACGGGUUUUAAUGAAAAUGGUUGAGUUUAUUGUGAGUGGAGAAAUAGUCCCACUAAAAAGAUAGUAUUGAUAAUAAUAAUUAAAUGUAUUGUGAAUGGGGAUAAGGGGCCCACCAUGUGAUAGAAAGUUGUCAAAAGUGAAAAGAGACUAAUUUUUGUGGAAGUCCCAAAAUUGCAAAAAGAGACUAUUUUUUGUGGACUGAGGGAGUAUAACGAAUUAUAACUAAUUAUACAUCGUUAUGGCCUUGAUGUGCCCCCACAGAUUCUUCGCAUCCAGAUUCUCGCAUUUAUGGAUCCGGAGAUGUUUGAGGUGCGGCAUUCCACCUUCUUCUAUAUCGAUACUUCUCAACUCAGACAUGUUCCGGAGGGAGAGGCCCUCGAGGCGGGGGAACCCGUCACGCAACACUUUCAUGCUCCGAUGCUCGUAAGCAUAUUCAGAUAACUUGAGAUACUGCAGCUUCGGCAGCUUACCCAAUUCCGGCAUCGGAUCCUUAAUUAGCUUUGCAUACUCCAACGUAAGGUGAGUAAGAUUUGGAGGGAAUUUACUCGCAUCCGGACAUCCAUGCAUCUUACCGUGUAGUUUGAGUUUUGUGAUGCUGCCGAGCUGGGGAAUGAUGUUUGAGUUGAACGACAAUGAGUUGCAUUUUAGGUGUAGUUCCACAAGAUUCGUCAUCUUCUCCAACGAUGCUCUCGCCAUGCUCAAAUCCUUAUUUCCUUCCAUUCCAUUCAUAUGUAUUCCCAAUUCGCGAACACGACAACUUGCCAUUAGUUUUGAGCUGCAUUCUAGCCAAUCCUUUAGCCUCAUGCCUUUCACACUCUCAAUAUUUUUCCAAUUCUCGAUGCUCAUUGGUUUGCCCAAGACGCUGUAUAGUGGAAGUGACGAGUUUUUCCAUUUCCAGUGCAACAUUCGGGAACACUAUCACCUCUUCUCUACGUCAAGCACCUCGAGGUUUUUCAAGUCCUUCAACCAGCUUGGGAGCUUCAAUACGUAACGCAAGAAAUACCGUUGUCUAUGUAUUCUCAAGUACUUCAAUCCAAUCAAUAGCCGAAAAGAGUCGGGCAAUCUCUGAAACGCAAAGCCGUCAAGGUCGAGCAUCUUAAGGAGUUGAAAGCUCUUCCAGUAGUCAGAUGGAGUAGUCAUAUAAACAUUUCCAUCACCAUUGAGAUUAAAUAGGAAAAGAGAGCGAAGAUGCUUAUUCUGAUUUGUCGAGCGAUUCUCAAUAUUUUUGCCAUAGACAACACGAUGACGAGGUUUAUACGAGGAUUGUGAUGAAAAACCCUCCUCCCCCUUUACAAUCUCCAAGCCUAUUUCCUCCUUUGCUUUUCUUAAACAUACCUCGCGAAGAAGAUCAUGGAGGCGACAAGUCCCUACCCGAUUAUCAAUGGUUAGAUCCUCAACUUGAAGCAUGCUUCGAUUGAUCAACUCAUUUAAAUAACCUCUUGCUAUCUCAUUUGUUGUUCUGGUUCCUUCCUGUUGGAUCAAGCCUAGUCCAACCCAUAUAUUUAUCAGCCUUUUUGCCGGUAUAGUAAAGUCUUCCUUGAAAAAAGCUAGACACAAGAAGCAUGAUUUUAGUUGCGGAGACAAAUUGUGAUAACUCAACUCCAAAAUUGUUGGUACGCUGCUUUCAGUCCUUCCUAAAUAAGAGUUAAUUUGGUUAAGAACUUGUUCCCACCCACUCUUGCUUUGUGUUUCCACAAGUAGGCCUCUUACCACACUAAUAGCUAAUGGUAGACCACGACAUCUUUCCACGAUUUGUCUGCCUAUGGUCUCAAACUCUUCUGGAUAUUUUCCAUUAGCAUUUCUAAUGAAUGCAUUCUUCAAGAGCAAUUCCCAGCUCUUCUCGCGAUCGAGAAGCUUCAUCGUGUGCACAUAUUGAUCAUACUUUGUAAUAAUCUUGUUGCGAGUUGUAACCAAUAAUCUACUCCUUUUAUCUGUGAGAGAAGAGGUAAUUAAGUAUAAGAACAUGAGUUGAGAGAUGAGUGAUUCAUAUUCGUUCACCAAGAACAUGAAUGCCACUUGAAGAAUCAAUCCUGUAUAUAUAUAUAAAUUCUACUAAGUGCUUGUUUGGUCCAAGUAGAUGAAUGGAAAGGGAAUAUGUACAAGUAAAGGGAGAGAAUGAUAACAAUAACUAUUGUUUUUAUUGAGUGUUUGGUUUAACAAUGGAAAUGAAUCAUUAAUAAGAGGAUUCACUUUCUUUUAUUUCCCCUAUAUCUUGAGGGGUAACAAAUUGUAUGACUGGAUUACCCUGAAGUAAUGGUAAUAGUUAACUCAUUACCCAAGCCCAACAAUGGAUUCAAUUUUCAACUUCCAAAAACACCCAACCAAACAUGGGCUAAGUAUAUUUUACAUCUCAUGUUGUUAAUGAAAAAAUUAUUUAUCAUUUUCAAGUUUUUUUAAUAAAGUAUUUGGUCAUUUUUUAAAAAAAUAUAUGAUCAUACACUAAAACUAAAGAACAACCUAUAUAUUAGAGCUUGCUUGUUUGCCAGUAUGAGAUAUAAGCUUGAUAUGUUUAGUUAAAAUUUCUUAUAUAUUGUAUAAGGUAUUAAUAUUAUGUUUGGUUUAGAUGUAUUAAAUUAUUUGUUUUAUAAAUUAAUUAUAGCAGGAGAGUGAAAUUUUGAUAAUUUAAUAUUAAUUUAUAGUAGGAUGAUGAAAUUAUGGUAGUUUAAAAUAUUAAAUAAUAUAUUUAGGAUUUAUAUUACGUAUCCCGCCUAGAAGAUUGUUUACAGAAUCUCAAGAAUCUAUACAAUACAUAUAAGGCCCUAGCUUUAUAAAUGCCUCAUGUUUUGAAGCAAACAUGAUACUCCCUUUACCCCGCUAAAAAUAACUCGUUUCUUUUUUAUACAGAGAUUAAGGAAAAUGUGUAAAUUGGAUAAAGUUGAUACAUAAUUAGGCUAAUUAUUUUGAAUUUCGAUAUUUUUGGGCCACAUUUAAGCCCAAUUCGACGUCUACAUGCUACAUUUAGAGCUAUAUUUGGACUAAAGUAUAUCUGGACCCAAAUGUGAGUCUAUUUAAAACAAUUGAUUAUUUUUACAAGUCUAAAAAAAUUGGCUGCCCCUAAAAUAAGUACCUAAAAAAAAUUAAAACUCACCAUAAUUCUACCAUAAAAAUAGGCCUCUUUCUAACAUUUCAUAAAAUCAAUCCACCAACAAGCACAAAUUAGGAAAGGAAAAAAUAGAGUGGUCACCUUGUUGAUUUGGGAAAGCACUCAUGAGAGAUUCUAAAAUGUUCCUUCUCCCAAACAUCAUCCAGAACAAUGAAAUAUGACAUGCCAUCCAAUUGCUUAUGAAGCAUUUGCUUAAGCUCCUCUUGGACAAAUGGUUUAUCCUUCAUCAACUCCUCCAAAUUCUUCAUUUUCUUAAGCAGCUUGUUUUUGACUUGAUCAGAUCUUUGCAUCUGGAAGAUCAGCUGUUUGAUCGUCUCCCGUGGCGUAAAUUCGCUCGACACCACGACCCAGCCACGGCUGUCGAAUCUACCCACGACGUCGCAGUGGUUGUAUAUUGCUCGGGCAAGUGUAGAUUUUCCUAUCCCACCCAUCCCCUCUAACACCGCAAUCGAAAGCCCCUUCCUGUCCUCAUUAAGAAUUGAUUCUUCUAGCAAUUUUUGCACAUCCUCUUCGACGCCCACCAGGUGUUCGUCGUUUUUCAUAUGAGACAACCGCCGCCGCGAUUCAGCUUGCAAUCUCCACCCCGAGUCUGCCGUCGCCUCCUUGCCAAAAUCUGUAAUGCCAUACCUCUCGCGGCUCUUGUCAAUGGCGUCGAGCCUAGCACGGAUUGAUUCAAUCUCAUCCCCAAUUCUGUCGAGCCGGUACAUACGCUUCGCGAAGCUAGUGCAUCGCUUGAGAAGCCCCUUGCUCGAGUUCUCAACGUUGAUGAGGAACAUCUCGAUGGUAUCUUCGGCAUCCUGAGCCACCUCUCUGAUCUCCGAUAUCCAAUUAUGCACCCUCUUGUCUUCAAAUUGCUUUUUGUUGGCGUCAUCUAGAAAGGAUUGCAUCCUCUUGAGCUCGGCUUUCAGCGACUCCACCUUUCCCUCGACGCCUCGUAGGAAUUUCACCUUCUGGAUGAGCUGAUCGCCCAGCAGUUCCACCAGAGAUGAGAUCGCCGCUUCUGCCAUGUUGUUGUCGUUCGAUCUCUUGAUUUCAGAAAAUUGCUCUUUACUGGUUUAAGUGAAACAUAUAAGUCAGAUUGGAUAUAUGUGAUAGUGCCACUAAUGGGGGCGAGGUUGCAUACAGAAUGCUAUAUAUUCAGAGAACGGAUAAUAACCAAUAAAUCAAUAAAUUAAAUGAAUAAACCAAUAUAAUUGAAGAACAAACUUAUGUAUCUAUUUAAUAUUGUGAAAAUCUCGCCCGGAGGAGUAUUCGAUGGCACACGAAAAUGCCUGUUCAUAUGGAAUGUUGAUUUAUUCGGAGAAAUUAUUGACUUAUUGAUACACAUUCUCCAUUCUAUAUAGCAUUCUCUCGCCACUGACAUUGCGCAAAUAUUUAUGAAAAUCGAAAAUCGAACCGAACCCCCUCACCCCACAUAAAAAAAUGAUUUGAUUAUCGAUUUAAAAAAAAUUCUAUUUUGUCGUAUUUCGAUCUAUUGGGUAUUUCUCUGACUGAAUCAAAUCGAAAUAACCGAAUGAGCACAUUUUAUUUUUCAAAUAAUACUCCCUCCAUCCCUUAUAAAUAUGCAUAGUUGAUCAGGGCACGAGUUUUAAUAAAAAGUUUGUUAAAGUAUUGAUAGUGGAGAAAUGUUAUCACAUAGAGGGUAUUGUUAAAUUGAUUGUGGGUAAAUAAUUUAAGUUAAAAAGGUAAAAUUGUAAAAUAUUAUGUGUGGGGUAGUGUCCAAUACUAGAGUAUGCAUAAAUUUGAACCAAAAAUUAAAGUUAUGCAUAAAUAAGACGGAGGGAAUACUUAUUUCAAAUUAUAAUAGACAAGUCCUAUUAUUUUUUUGUAUUAUGUUUUUUUUAUUAUUAUUAUAGAUCUUGGGCUUGUUGAAGAUCACUUAUUUUGUUACACUAGUAGAUUUUGAAAAUGAUUAAAAUCAAUUUUUUUUUUAUCAUAAAAAAAUAAAAAAUUCGGAAAUUUUUAAAUAAUUAUACUGGUUUGGUUACUGAAAAAUUUCAGUUUGCUUCAAUUAUUUUCUCGUAAUUUCGGUUAUCAAGCCAAAAUCAAACCGAUAACCGAAUACUCAAUCCUAAUUACCACUCUAUCAUUAUCCAACUACUUCCUUCGUCCCACUGCAAUAGGCUCAGUCUUAAUAUAGAAAUGUUUAGGGCUUUAUUAAGUAACAAUAAUGGAGUACUAUUUAGUUUUUUCAUAAGGGAGUACUCUUAAAAUGUUACUUUUUGGUGGACCACACCACAUUUAACUACCAAAAAGUGAAUUUCUUAAUCUCCGUGCCGAAAACAAAUGAGCCUAUUGGCCUGGGACGGAGGGAGUAGUAUUUAUUGUUUUUUUUUAUAUACAACAUGUUGGGGAUAAUGAUUAGAAAGGAUUGAGCGGUGGAGUGAGGGGACUAGUAGAUUUUUGAAAAUUAAUAAAAAUGGUUUGUUUUGGUGAUGGAUAUGAGUUGAUAUAUACAACAUGUGGAUAAGGAGAAUCUUUGUGCAUACUGCGCAUCGGGCUAGAGUAUGGGCUCUGCGAAUAAAGACAACUCAGUUUCAAUCACGGAAUGAUGAAAAUGGAAUUAUUUAAUGUUUUAUUUAUUCAUUAAUUUCAAGAGAUACAUAUCUUGAAUUUUGGAAACGUCGAAACAAAAUGAAAAUCAUACAGGGUGUAAAGUAAGUAAUAUGCCAAAAAAGUCACCAUUUUUUGGAGAGGGACCUGAGCUUAAUUAUUGAGGUCAGUGGUCCACAAAGAUAAAGUAGAAUCAUUUUUUUUAAAUUUCCAUCUAUCCAUAUAUAUAGACACUUACAUCAGAUAUCAGUAGUACUUAGAAUUACUAGAACUCCACAAGCUUUUUAGGACCAUUUCUUUGACAGUUUUUUAAAUUUAUGACAUUUUUUUUUGGACUUGGACAAAUUUUCAAAAAUUAGGCAUAAGUGGGACAAAUUAAGCCUGAUCGCCGAAUUUUUGAUAUUUUGUCCUGCAACUGUAAGCUCAAAAAUAUUUGUCCUACAUUUGCAAUACAGACAAAGUUACGGUCCUAAAAAAACUUUAGGCUCAAUUAAAAUUUAAUUCAUCAUAUUUUAUUUUCUUGCUCAAUGUAUUAUGUUCAUGUUUCAAAGUUUUUUAUUUCCCUUAAAUAUAUUUUCUACUAUUUUAUAUAAAUAUGAUAGAAAAUAUAAUUUGAAGUAAUUUGUCUAUAAUGUAAACUCAAAAAAUAAAAAAACUAUAUAAAAAAUAAUUUUAUACCUUUUAAAAUAAUUUAUAUUAAUACUCCAUCAGUCCACAAAAAAUAGUACGCCCUUUGAAUAUGAGAACAUUCACACAGAAGAUAUUAAGAUUAUGAGUAGUUUGUUGUUAUUAACAUUAUGCUAAAGUUAUAUAUUAUUAAAGAGAUAGCUUAAAAGCAAAAAAUUAAUCAUAAUUUGCCUUAUAUAUUAUAUACUCCGUAUUAUUUACUAAUUUGUUAAGUUUAGGAACUAUAAGAAAAGAAUGUAAAUAAUUCACCUUAAUUUGCCUCAUUGUAUAUGUUAAAUAUUCAUUAUUAGAAUAUUGAAAACAACAUUCCGAUGACAAAUUGUUGUAUUAUUCAUAUUUGGAUAUUGUGUUGCACAAUAUGAUGAACAAUUUGCGAAACCUAAUUGAAAGGCAAAACAUGAAAUGAGAAUUUUAUGCAUAACCAAUAAUAUGAAUACGCUUAUCUUAGGCUGGUUUACAAAAAUAGGUCAAUUUUUUUUUUAACUUGCCGAAAUUUACCAAUUAUUUUAAAAUUUGACCCAAAUGUGACUUAUAAACGCCAAAUUGGGCCCAAAUACAGCCCAAGAACACCGAAAUUUAAAAUAAUUGACCUAAUUUUACAAGCAAAAAAAAGGCAUAUUUUGUACAAACGGGGUGUAAUCGAACCGAGCCGAACCGAAUAGUGGUGUGCUCAAGUUUGGUUUGUUUUGUAUCGAAUUGAAUCCCGAACUUUACUUACCGAAUACUUUGAGGCUCAUGAGGGGCUCACGAGCCUGAUCGAGCCUAUACGAACUUUCUAAAUUUAUAUUUAUAUUCACAAUAUUGAUUAUUUAUAUUAAAAUAAAUUAUUAUAUUCAAAAUAAUAAAAUAUAUUAAUUAUUUUCUUAUAACAAACAAAAUUAAUUAGAGAUUUAAUACAAUUAUUAUUAAUUUUAGUGGAUAAACAUAAGUUGUAUCUACUAAUAAUUUAUAUUUUUCAAUAUGAAUCACUUGANGGAUAUUUUCCAUUAGUAUUUCUGAUGAAUGCAUUCUUCCAGAGCAAUUCCCAGCUCUUCUCGCGAUCUAGAAGUUCCAUCGUGUGCACAUAUUGAUCAUACUUUGUAAUAAUCUUGUUGCGAGUCGUAACCAAUAAUCUACUCAUUUUAUCUGUGAGAGAAGAGGGUAAUUAAGUAUAAGAAUAUGAGUUGAGAGAUUCGGUAUUGAGAUUCGUUAACUCUUACAAUGAACAUGAAUGUUGCUUGAUAGAAUCAAUCGUAUAUAUAAAUUCUACUAAGUAUAUUUUGCAUUUCAUGUUAUUUAUGCAACAAUAUUUAUCAUUUUCAAGUUCUUUUAAUCAAGUAUUGGGUCAUUUGCAAUUUCUAAACUAAUUGAAUUUUUAAAGGGAUAAUUGCAAUUUAGUAUUUUGAAAUAAUUGAUCUAAACUUAUAUAAACAUUAUGAGAUAUGAAAAUAGAAUUCUAUUAACUUAGUGUCUCGUUAAAUAGAACACCAAGAAGAAGAAAAUUACAAGCGAACCUAAAGCCUUUGUUGGUAGUCUUGCGGAUUCUAAUAUAAUUAAUAAUGAUUAUAACUGGUAAUUCUAAAAUUAAAUUGAGAAUACAAUUAAUUAAUAGUAAUUUAAAUGGAGGAAGAACUCUAAUAUCACAACAUUGAUUAUAUUAUUUUAAUGAAAUUAAAUAUAUAAUCCUAAAAUAAUGUGAAUUUUUUUCAGAGGUAUAAUAUUCCAUCCAUCCUCCGAACACAUUCACAAUUUUCUGUUUUAGCACAUUUUACGAAAAUAUUUAUUUUCCACUUUUGAAUACUAUCGCACCACAGGUCCCUUGUUGUAUAUAUGCCUAUUGUUUCAACAUAUUUACAAUUUUACUACAUGGCUCCCUACAAAUUCUUUAUUUUUUAUUCUCAUUUUCUCAACUUAUUCACAACUUUGCCACAUGGCCCGUCACAAACUCCUUAUUUUUAUAUUCCUUAUAUUACUCUUAAAUUCAAUAAUAUAAAAGAUGUACUCUCCUUCGUCUCACAAAAACAUGAACAUUUGAAAGUGGCACGGAUUUUAAAAAAUAUUAGAUAAAAGUGUAUUAUGAAUGGAAAAGGGGUCCCAUCUAUGAAAAGUAGAAAUAAAAAGUAAAGAAAUUAUGAUGGAGGUAGUGUAUUUUCAUGUUUUUGUGAAACGACCAAAAAUGGCAAAAUAUUCAUGUUUUUGUGGACGGAGUGAGUAUGAUAUAUCAGAACACCAAGCACAAGGUACAAAAGGAAAAAUUGAAUGGUUACCUUGUUGAUUUGGGAAUGCACUCAUGAGAUAUUCUAAAUGUUGUUUCUCCCAAACAUCAUCGAGAACAAUGAAAUAUGAUUUGCCAUCCAAUUGCUUAUGAAGCAUUUGUUUAAGCUCCUCUUGGACAAAUAGUUUAUCCUUCAUCGACUCCUCCAAUUUCGUCAUUUCGUCAAGCAGAUCCUUUUUGUCUUGAUCAGACCUUCGCAGCUGGAAGAUGAGCUGUUUGAUCGUCUCUUGUGGUGUAAAUUCACUCGACACUGCAACCCAGCCACGGCUGUCGAAUCUACCCACGAUGUCGCGGUGGUUGUAUAUUGCCCGGGCAAGUGUAGAUUUGCCUAUCCCACCCAUCCCCUCUAACACGGCAAUCGAAAGCCCCUUCCUCUCCUCAUUAAGAAUUGAUUCUUCCAGCAGUUUUUUUACGUCAUCUUCCACGCCCACCAGGUGUUCGUCGUUUUUCAUAUGAGACAACCGCCGCCGCGAUUCAGCUUGCAAUCUUCCUACAUUUACAAAAUUGUCAAAGUUAUGGGCCUAAAAAAGGAAUAGAGGAAAGAAAAUUUUUAAAAAAUUUAAUGUUUAAAUAAAUAUAACUUUUACAUUUUGAAUCAAAUAUUUACAUAAAAUAUAUCAAAUUAAAGCUCUUAUCAUGAUCUUUAAUUUGAUAUGCAUAUUAAAUAUUUUUUAAUAGUCGAAUUUCACAUUUAAAAAGAAACAAAACACAAAAAUAAAACAUAAUAAAGGAUAUAAAAAGAAAAAAUACUUUUAGAAAUAAGGAAUAUAUUUUAGGCCAGUAACUUUGGCCGUUUUGCAAAUGUAGGAUAAUAUUUUUGGGCUUGCAAUUGCAGGACAAAUUGUUUUUUCAGGCUCAAUUUAUCCUACUUAUGUCGAAUUUUUGAAAUUUUUUACUACAAUUGUAAGUCCAAAAAAUUUUGUCCUACAUUUGCAAAAUGGCCAAAGUUACUGUCUUUUCUCAGGGAUUCGUUCACUCUUACAAAGAACAUGAAUACUAAGUAUAUUUUGCAUUUCAAGUUAUGUAUGCAACAAUAUUUAUCAUUUUCAAGUUUUUUUAAUCAAGUAUUGGGUCAUUUAAAAAAAAUUAUAUGAUCAUACACUAAAACUAAAGAAUUAAGGGAAAAUUGUAUGAAAAUACCCCACUUUAAUCCAAAUUUGAUUUUUUGACAAUCUUUUUUUUUUGUUGCAAAAAUUUGAACGAGCUUUCAAUUUGUUGUAAUGUCCGUCCGGAGAUAUCUUCCAUGCAAUUUUUGGUUGCAAUGUCUAUCAUAUCACUACAUAGAUGCAAUGAAAUGAAAGCCUUACAGGAAGNCAUAACCUUUAAAAUUUGAAAAAAAAAUACACAACCUUUCGAUUUUUUCUGAUUUUCGUCACGGGCAUAAAACACUCUCAAAUAGAAGUUGAUUUUAGAGCUUUUGACUUAUAUUUUUUGAUACAUAAGCGUGGGGGAUAAUAAAGGUGCCAUAAUAAAGCCGACGUACACGCUUAGGUAUCAAAAAAACUAAAUCAAAAGCCCAAAAAUCAGUUUCUAUUUGAGAGUAUUUUAUGUCCGUGGGAAAAAUCAGAAAAAAUCGAAAGGUUGUGUAUUUUUUUUCAAAUUUUAAGGGCUAUGGGAAAAAUCAGAUAUUAUUGAAAGUUCGUGUAUUUUACGGUAAAUAUCCCUUCUAUAAAAACAUUCAUUUUUCUUUUUUGAAUAUUAUCGCUUCACAAACCCCAUACUUUUUAUUCCUAUUUUCUCAACUUAUUUACAAUUUUACCAUAUCGCUCACAACAAAUUCUUUAUUUUCGAUCCUCACAACUUUAUUACAUGGCUCGACACAAACUCCUUAUUUUUUUAUUCCUUACAUUACUCUUAAAUUGAAUAAUACUCCCCCAUCCACGAGAGAACUUGCUGACACGGAGUGAUACGGAUUUUAAGGAAAAAGUUGUUGAGUGUAUUGAGAGUGGAGAAAAAGUUAUUGAGUGUAUUGAGAAUGAUGAAAAUGUAUUUUAAUUAGUAUUGUGAGCGGUAAAAACAUGAAAAAUUAAGGAUAAUGAGAUAUUUAUAAGUGAUUAAGUAUAGUCCAAAAAUAGAUAAGAAGUUCUUUUGUGAACGUCCCAAAAAGGAUAAGUAGGAAGUUCUCUCGUGGACGGCGGUAGUAUAAGAGAUGUAUGAUAUAGCAUAACAACAAGCACAAGCUAGAAAAGGAAAAAUUGAAUGGUUACCUUGUUGAUUUGGGAAAGCACUCAUGAGAGAUUCUAAAUGUUCCUUCUCCCAGACAUCAUCCAGAACAAUGAAAUAUGAUUUGCCAUCCAAUUCCUUAUGAAGCAUUUGUUUAAGCUCCUCUUGGACAAACAGUGUAUCCUUCAUCGACUCCUCCAGUUUCUUUAUUUCGUCAAGCAGCUUCUGUUUGUCUUGAUGAGACCUUUGCAGCUGGAAGAUAAGCUGUUUGAUCGUCUCCUGUGGUGUAAAUUCACUCGACACCACAACCCAGCCACGGCUGUCAAAUCGACCCAAGACGUCGCAGUGGUUGUAUACUGCUCGGGCAAGUGUAGAUUUGCCUAUCCCACCCAUACCCUCUAACACCGCAAUCGAAAGCCCCUUCCUCUCCUCAUUAAGAAUUGAUUCUUCUAGCAGUUUUUUCACAUCCUCUUCCACGCCCACCAGGUGUUCGUCGGUUUUCAAAGGAGACAACCGCCGCCGUGAUUCAACUUGCAAUCUCCACCCUGAGUCCGCCGUCGCCUCCUUGCCAAAAUCUUUAAUGCCAUACCUCUCGCGGCUCUUGUCAAUGGCGUCGAUCUUAGCAAGGAUUGAUUCAAUCUCAUCCCCAAUUCUGUUGAGCUGGUACAUACGCUUCGCGAACUUAGUGCAUCGUUCGAGAAGCCCCUUACUCUUCGAGUUCUCAACGUUGAUGAGGAACAUCUCGAUGGUAUCUUCGGCAUCCUGAGCCACCUCUCUGAUCUCCGAUAUCCAAUUUUGCACAUUCUUGUCUUCAAAUUGCUUUUUGUUGGCGUCUUCCAGAAAGCAUUGCAUCCUCUUGAGCUCGGCUUUCAGGGACUCCACCUUUCCCUCGACGCCUCGUAGGAAUUUCACCUUCUGGAUGAGCUGAUCGCCCAGCAAUUCCACCAAAGAUGAGAUCGCCGCUUCUGCCAUGUUGAUGUCGAUCGAUCUCUUGAUUUCAGAAAAAUGCUCUUUUAAGUGUUGUUCAAAGUUGGUAAUGGUUUAAGUAAAAAAAAAAAAGUCAUAUUGGAUAUAUAUGAUAGUGCCGCUAACAGGGUAUGGUUCCAUGGAGAAUGAUAUAUAUUGAGACAGUGAAGAAUAAUGAAUAAAUCAAUAAAUUUUAUGAAUAAACAAUAUAACCGAUGAACAAAUAAAAUGUAUCUAUUUAAUAUGGUAAAAAUCUCACAUGCAUUCAUCAUUCUCUAAAUAUAUAACAUUUUUCAUGUGGAAUCUUUUUCGCCACUAACAUAAAAUAUUUAUAAAAAAAAGAAUUGUUUGAUUAACCAUUAAAACAAAAUCAACGUUUCGAUUUUCUGUCAAUUUGGUAUUUCUAUGACGGAAUCGAAUCGAAAUAACCGAAUUAGCACAUUUUGUUUUUUAAAUAAUAUUUAUUUCAAAUAAAGUUCCUACUAUUUUUUGUAUUAUGUUAUUAUUAUUGUAGAUCUAGGGCUUGUUGAACAUCACUUAUUUUGUUAGACUAGUAGGUAUUGAAAAUGAUUAAAAUUAAUUUAUUUUUUUGCAUAAAAAAAUAAAGAUUCGGAAAAUUUAAGUAACUUAUUAUUGUGGUUUGGUUAACCAAAAUUUCAAUUUGUUUCAAUUUUUUUCUCAUAAUUUCGGUUAUCAAGCCAACAUAGAACGGGAUAACCGAAUACUCAAUCUGAAUUACCACUCAAUUAUUACCUAAUUAAUAUUAGAUUUUUUUUAAUAUUAAAUUUCAAAAAUGGCUUGUUUUGGUGAUGGUGAUGAGUCAUGAGUUGAUAUAACAUGUCGGGCAUAAUGAGAGUCUCUGUGCAUAGUGCGCAUGAUGGAGUAUGGGCCCUGCCCCUGCGAAUAAAGAUCACUUGGUUUCAAUCACCGAAUGAAAAAUGGGAUGUGUUGAUGUUUUAUUUAUUCAUUAAUUUCAAGACAUACAUAUCUUAUAUCAUGGAGACGUCAAAAGAAAAUGAAAAUGCAUUGUCUGAAAAAUGAAAAUCAUACAGGGUGUAAAGUAAGUAAUAUGCCAAAAUAGUCACCAUUUUUUGGAGAGGGACAUGAGCUUAAUUAUUGAGGUCAGUGGUCCACAAAGAUAAAGUAGAUUCAUUUUUGAAAUUUCCAUCUAUCCAUAUACAAAAACACUUACACCAGAUAUUAGGUUUGGUGCAGAUGAUUAAGGUGUAUAACAUACGUAUGACAUUCUAAUAUUUUAUUUGUUAAGAAAUAAUACGACAUACAUGACCGUUUAUAAAUCAAAUGUCCGAAAAUAUUUAUACAUCACAAUUCGUUUUUCCCUAAAAGAAGUUCAUCAAUUAAACCAACGAUCAAGGGGAUUCCAAAAUCUUAUGGCAUUAGAAUUCUAUUUAAUUUAUUGCAUAUUUUAUUUUAAGGUUAUUUUACAGUAUUAUAAUUUAUUUAAUUUAUAUUAUUUAUUUUAAGGUUAUUUACAGUAUUAUAUAUUUAUAAGAAUAUAUNAAUUUAAGGAUAAUUGUGUUAUUUAAAACUAUAAAAUCUAUAAAAAUAUUAUACAUUAUUAUCACUAUUAUGUACUUGUCUUUUAAUAGAAAAUAGCCUAAAAUGGAUGGAAUGCCCAAAAAAAUUUGUUUGCCAUUAUUACUAUGCUUGUCUUUUAUUAUUAUUAUUCAUUCUAGCUUGUAAUUUAUUGAAAAUAUAUAAUUUAUGAAAAUAUUGUUCGUUAUUAUUGCUAUUAUGCUUGUCUACUAAUAAAAAAUGCCUAAAAUGUACGAAAUAACAAAAAAAAAAGUUUGUAAUGUAUUGAAAUUAAUUUGUAAUAUAUUGAAACUAUAUAGUAUAUGAAAAUGUUGUUCUUUAUAAUUACUAUUAUGCUCGUUUUUAAUAAAAAAUGCUUUAAAAAUACAGAAUGUCCCAAAUAUUUUUGUAAUGUAUUGAAACUAAUUUGUUAUAUAUUUAAAUUAUAUAAUCUAUGAAAAUGUUGUUCUUUAUAUUACAGUGGUGAAAAAGUGUUAUACUAAUUAAUAUUGAGAGUUGUGAAAAGUAAAAAGUAAGAGGAUUAUAAGUGGUGGGGUAUAGUCCAAAAAUAGGUAGGAAGUUCUUUUGUGGACGUCCCAAAAAGGCAAGAUAGGAAGUUCUUUCGUGGACGGAGGGAGUAUAUGUUGAUGUUUUAUUUAUUCAUUAAUUUCAAGACAUACAUAUAUCAUGGAGACGUGAAAAGAAAAUGAAAAUGCAUUGUCUGAAAAAUGAAAAUCAUACAGGGUGUAAAGUUAGUAAUAUGCCAAAAUAGUCAACAUUUUUUGGAGAGGGACAUGAGCUUAAUUAUUGAGGUCAGUGGUCCACAAAGAUAAAGUAGAUUCAUUUUUGAAAUUUCCAUCUAUCCAUAUACGAAAACACUUACAUCAGAUAUUAGCAGUGGCUAGUUUGGUGUUUGGUGCAGAUGAUUAAGGUGUAUAAUAUACGUAUGGCAUUCUAAUAUUUUAUUUGUUAAAAAGUAAUACGAAAUACACGACCAUUUAUAAAAUAAAUGUCCAAAAAUAUUAUAUUGAUUUGAGGGAUUCUGUAUAUCACGUAUGGAGGUGGUAUACAUAUAUAAUAUAAUAAUAAUUAUAACUAUUAUUAACUUUAUAUACUAUUAAUAUAUUAUACCAAACAACAUAUUAUAUUUUACAACUAUUUAAAUGCAUUUUACCAAAUAUGAUAUUAAUAUGACACAUAUAGUAAAAGAUACCCCGAUCAAACAUAUAACGCCUUAUCUCAUACCGCGUACGAAAUGAGCCCUAGUAGUACGAUUAGUAGUACUAGGAACCCAAAGUUUUUUUAGGCCUCGUAACUUUGGUUAUUUUGCAUAUGUAGGACAAAUUUUUUCGGGCUUGCAAUUGCAGGACAAAUUCAGUCAUGUAAUUGCAAGCCCGAAAAAAUUUGUCCUACAUUUACAAAACAACUCAAUUAAAAUUUAAUUCAUCAUCUUGGUGUGCAUUCAUAGGAUAGGCGCUUCCCUAUGCAAACUAGGUAUUCUUCAUUGUUGGAUUCAAGAAAAGACAAUGCAAGAGAGCGAGGUUAUAUUAUGUUCACGUUUUAAAGUUCUUUAUCUCCCUUAAAUAUAUUUCCAACUAUUUUAUAUAAAUAUGAUAAAAAAAAACAAUUCAAAAUAAUUUGUCUAAAAUGUAAAUAAAAAAAGAAAAAAGAAAUUAUGUUUUUUUUCAUGUGAUGGUAGCAUCUGAAACUAGCAAUUUGUCUAAAAUGUACAUUACUUUUAUUAUUAGGAGUCAAUUAUAUGUGAAUGCAAUUGCGCAUAGUGCAAAAUAGGGGAAGAAAAAAAGUUUCUAAUAUAUAUGGAGAGAGGUUAUACAUUCAUUGAGUUGGGUUCAAAAUACGUACCCAAUAGAUCAAAAUCUAUGCUAUAUUAAAAAGUCAAAAUUAACUCAAAUUGAUUUCAAAAUUGAGUGGUAAUUUUAUAGUUAUAAUAAAAUUGAAAGUUUAUUUAUAAACUAGUAUAUUUUUUCUUUUAAUUUAUCUUUUUUUAUUAUUUUAUUUGUUUCUAAAAUUGUGUAAUUCGACGUCUAAUUAUAAAUUAUUUAUAUGCAUAUCAAAUUAAUGAUCACAAUAGGAGCUUUAAUUUGAUAUAUUUUAUAUAAAUAUUUGAUUUAAAAUGUAAAAAUCAUGUUUAUUUAAAGAUUAUGGUGCGUUUACUUUGAUGGAUAAAUUUAUUAUGUGAAAAUGAAGAAUAACAAAAAUUUAUGCCUUUAAAUGCCUCCUUUAUUUUCCCACAUUUUAUACACAAAAGAAGUUCACCAUUUUUUCUUCAACAAAAAAAUGCUACUCCUUCCACCCCCAAAUAACUUCCUAAUUUUUCUUUUUGGUUGGUCUCCUAAAAAAAUUUCCUUUAUAUUUUUGGACUAUAACCCACCACUAAUAAUACCACACUUACCCUUACUUUUUCACAUUUUCACCACCUACGAAGUUAUUUGGGCUCGAGGAAGUAGGGAGUACAAUUUUUCAUAUAUAAUAUUGCUAUUAUAUAUCUAGAUAAUGCUAUUUUAACAUAAACAUAAUGUUUUUUUGUAAUAGAAACUGGUGGAGUUUAUAAAUUUUUGUGAGAGAAGAUGGUUUCUUUUUUUGGAACAAGCCAUUAUCAAUGAGACAGACGAAAAAGGAAAGUGAGCCUUUAUCAAUGAGAAUUGAGGGGAGUGGUAUAUUUUAAAUAGCCAAAAUGAAGUUCGUGCUAAUAGUAUUUCAAUAUUGAUUAGUAUAUUGCUAAGAAAUGUUACUUGGAAAAUUUAUAUAACAAUAUAACGAGUUCAAAAUUUUGUAGGCCACUAACAUAGGGCGCUUUGCAAAAUUAGGCCAUAGUUUUUCGGGCUUGCAAAUUUGGGCCAUUUAUUAUUAAUUUCGGCGUAAGUGAGCCACAUUUGGGCCCGAUCGGACUAUUUUGCACAUUAUACGUGCGUGACUUCACAGUUGGAGUCCGAAUGCUAAUGUGGAAUUUUAAUUCAUUCUUUUAUUUGGCAAAUUUAUAUAUAUGUAAAAAUAAAUAAUAAAAUAAUCCAUAAUUAAAAGACAGAAAUAAAAAAUGAAUUAAAAAAAUAUAUUAAAAAUACACAAAUAAUUGCUUUUUCUCGACGACACACGUAUGGUCGAAAUUAAAUUGCAGAAAUAUAUAUGUUCGUCAAGAUAUCCUAAUGCACCGUAUAAAAAAAUAUAAUACAUAAUACAUAUUUUCCUCAAGAUAACAAUAAUUAUUUAUAUAUUUAUAAAAAGACAGCUUAUACUAUAUAAUAGGAAGCACAAAGAAAAGAUUCAUGACCAAUCACAUUAAAUAGUAGGCCAUAUCGAUGUGAAGCUUAAACCAUAUGCUUUGUAAGCAAUAAGCUACUUGGUUUGGUCCACUCUUCUCUUUCAACAAGGAGACAUUCACUAUUAACAACUAGCUAAUUUGUGGCUCUAAUACCAUGAAUAAAUGUAAAAUAUCAUACUCACUCCGUCCACAAAAAAAUAGUCAUAGAAGAGGACGACACGGGUUUUAAUGAAAAUGGUUGAGUUUAAUUAUUGUGAGUGGAGAAAUAGUCCCACUAAAACAAUAGUAUUGAUAAUGAUAAUUAAAUGUAUUGUGAAUGGGGAUAAGGGCCCACCAUGUGAUAGAAAGUUGUCAAAAGUGAAAAGAGACUAAUUUUUGCGGAAGUCCCAAAAUGGCAAAAAGAGACUAUUUUUUGUGGACGGAUGGAGUAUAACGAAUUAUAACUAAUUAUACAUCCUUAUGGCCUUGAUGUGCCCCCACAGAUUCUUCGCAUCCAGAUUCUCGCAUUUAUGGAUCCGGAGAAGUUUGAGGUGCGGCAUUCCACCUUCUUCUAUAUCGAUACUUCUCAACUCAGACAUGUUCCGGAGGGAGAGGCCCUCGAGGCGGGGGAACCCGUCACGCAACACUUUCAUGCUCCGAUGCUCGUAAGCAUAUUCAGAUAACAUGAGAUACUGCAGCUUCGGCAGCUUACCCAAUUCCGGCAUCGGAUCCUUAAUUAGCUUUGCAUACUCCAACGUAAGGUGAGUAAGAUUUGGAGGGAAUUUACUCGCAUCCGGACAUCCAUGCAUCUUACCGUGUAGUUUGAGUUUUGUGAUGCUGCCGAGCUGGGGAAUGAUGUUUGAGUUGAACAACAAUGAGUUGCAUUUUAGGUGUAGUUCCACAAGAUUCGUCAUCUUCUCCAACGAUGCUCUCGCCAUGCUCAAAUCCUUAUUUCCUUCCAUUCCAUUCAUAUGUAUGCCCAAUUCGCGAACACGGCAACUUGCCAUUAGUUUUGAGCUGCAUUCUAGCCAAUCCUUU